Molecule: ribosomal RNA, 1288 nt
Filed under: Lactobacillus johnsonii
Lineage: Bacteria; Bacillati; Bacillota; Bacilli; Lactobacillales; Lactobacillaceae
Description: bacterial SSU rRNA
Rfam family: Bacterial small subunit ribosomal RNA
Source: RNAcentral
AGAGACUGGGAUAACACCUGGAAACAGAUGCUAAUACCGGAUAACAACACUAGACGCAUGUCUAGAGUUUGAAAGAUGGUUCUGCUAUCACUCUUGGAUGGACCUGCGGUGCAUUAGCUAGUUGGUAAGGUAACGGCUUACCAAGGCAAUGAUGCAUAGCCGAGUUGAGAGACUGAUCGGCCACAUUGGGACUGAGACACGGCCCAAACUCCUACGGGAGGCAGCAGUAGGGAAUCUUCCACAAUGGACGAAAGUCUGAUGGAGCAACGCCGCGUGAGUGAAGAAGGGUUUCGGCUCGUAAAGCUCUGUUGGUAGUGAAGAAAGAUAGAGGUAGUAACUGGCCUUUAUUUGACGGUAAUUACUUAGAAAGUCACGGCUAACUACGUGCCAGCAGCCGCGGUAAUACGUAGGUGGCAAGCGUUGUCCGGAUUUAUUGGGCGUAAAGCGAGUGCAGGCGGUUCAAUAAGUCUGAUGUGAAAGCCUUCGGCUCAACCGGAGAAUUGCAUCAGAAACUGUUGAACUUGAGUGCAGAAGAGGAGAGUGGAACUCCAUGUGUAGCGGUGGAAUGCGUAGAUAUAUGGAAGAACACCAGUGGCGAAGGCGGCUCUCUGGUCUGCAACUGACGCUGAGGCUCGAAAGCAUGGGUAGCGAACAGGAUUAGAUACCCUGGUAGUCCAUGCCGUAAACGAUGAGUGCUAAGUGUUGGGAGGUUUCCGCCUCUCAGUGCUGCAGCUAACGCAUUAAGCACUCCGCCUGGGGAGUACGACCGCAAGGUUGAAACUCAAAGGAAUUGACGGGGGCCCGCACAAGCGGUGGAGCAUGUGGUUUAAUUCGAAGCAACGCGAAGAACCUUACCAGGUCUUGACAUCCAGUGCAAACCUAAGAGAUUAGGUGUUCCCUUCGGGGACGCUGAGACAGGUGGUGCAUGGCUGUCGUCAGCUCGUGUCGUGAGAUGUUGGGUUAAGUCCCGCAACGAGCGCAACCCUUGUCAUUAGUUGCCAUCAUUAAGUUUGGGCACUCUAAUGAAGACUGCCGGUGGACAAACCGGAGGAAGGUGGGGAUGACGUCAAGUCAUCAUGCCCCUUAUGACCUGGGCUACACACGUGCUACAAUGGACGGUACAACGAGAAGCGAACCUGCGAAGGCAAGCGGAUCUCUUAAAGCCGUUCUCAGUUCGGACUGUAGGCUGCAACUCGCCUACACGAAGCUGGAAUCGCUAGUAAUCGCGGAUCAGCACGCCGCGGUGAAUACGUUCCCGGGCCUUGUACACACCGCCCGUCACACCAUG